GAUUUGAGGCUACUGCUGCCAGGCUAGCUAUGUGGCUGGCCAGACCAAGGGCCAGUGUGACUGUGAAGCAGCAUCAUGAGAGGGGUAAAACCAAGGAACAGACUGCAUGAGCCCUUGGGCCCCUUCCAGCUCUAAUACUCCAUGGUGAUGGCAGCCCUGCCCUUCUCUGAAGAUCUCAAAAUGCCUGACACCUGUGUCCUUCCGCACUGCCCUGGGAAGGAGAAUAAGGAUGUCUUGAUAAACUGCUUGAUGCUGGUCUCUAUACUGGAGAAGUGACUGAAAUUGUAGGAGGCCCAGGUAGCGGCAAAACUCAGGUAUGUCUCUGUAUGGCAGCAAAUGUGGCCCAUGGCCUGCAGCAAAACGUCCUAUAUGUAGAUUCCAAUGGAGGGCUGACAGCUUCCCGCCUCCUCCAGCUGCUUCAGGCUAAAACCCAGGAUGAGGAGGAACAGGCAGAAGCUCUCCGGAGGAUCCAGGUGGUGCAUGCGUUUGACAUCUUCCAGAUGCUGGAUGUGCUGCAGGAGCUCCGAGGCACUGUGGCCCAGCAGAUGUGCAAUCUGGUGACUCCAACUAUGCUUGCUACUCCCAGGAUGGAAUUCCCGAGCACCUAAAUCACAUACCUCAUUGUUUACAUGUUCAUCUUCCCUGCUGAACAGUAAAGCCCCCUGAGUGGAAGGAUCAUGUCAUAUUUAUGUCUGCAU
This 698-nucleotide small RNA is filed under the name Pan troglodytes (chimpanzee). RNAcentral's name for it is "processed transcript". Lineage: Eukaryota; Metazoa; Chordata; Mammalia; Primates; Hominidae. The record is from RNAcentral.